GGAGAGGUGCCGGAGUGGCCGAACGGGGCGGUCUUGAAAACCGCAGACCCUUUACGGGGUCCGGGGGUUCGAAUCCCUCCCUCUCCG
This 87-nucleotide transfer RNA is filed under the name bacterium. RNAcentral's name for it is "tRNA-Ser". It matches the Rfam family "tRNA". From Rfam's summary of the family: Transfer RNA (tRNA) molecules are approximately 80 nucleotides in length. Their secondary structure includes four short double-helical elements and three loops (D, anti-codon, and T loops). The record is from RNAcentral.